UCAUAACCCGUCAUAUGCAUAAACUAUCUGAUUUAACUCUAGGAGCCGUGGUAUUUUGUACUGUCGCGGUAUCCUUGUGGUGAGUACCCCAGGUAGUUCAGAUUUUUGUUAUGCUCGUGCUGAGAUGCCGAGCCGAUUUUUACAGUAGUGUUUACACUGUUCCGUACUAGUGGGUGCCGUAGUGGUUGACGGCGGACCCAGAUUUGAUCGUUUUGAUAUCACUUUGUGCCAAGGGCACGUGACUAGUGGUUCGUAGUCCAGUUGGACCUGUUUUCUUGAUUUUAGCCUGUGCGAGCCUGAUUGAGCUCGGCAGAGAUACACUUGCAUACUCGGUUAGGUCGCGCCCACGAGUGCCGCUCCGGAGUCUGGCUUUGUGCUUUCGCGUUGAUGUCGCUGAUUAGUUUUGCUAUCCACGGACUGUUUAGCGUGGAGGUAGCAUGGCUUAGACAGGCGGGACGGGUGCGUUCACAGUCCCUAGUGAGAUUCAGUCAGAGUUGACAGUUGCUACAGUUGGAUAGUAUAGAGCAUGAUAGUGUAGUGGCAUAUAGCUGUAGAUUUCUUUCCAGCUUUACCUACUAGCUUUGUUUCCUUCUGUAGACUUAGUGGGUGGACCGAUGAUGUUGAGGGCGGUACCCACUGAGAACUACUUGUUUUUAAAAUAGUUCUCACGCCCAGUUGUUACCACUGUUUUGCAGAGCCAUCGUCUUCGGCUGCUGCUGCUGUUGCCGAUUCAGAGCGAGGUAAGGGCGUUGCGAGUUAGAGCCAUACCAGACAAGUUGCUGUGAUAGAGGAGCACCUGCUGCAGGUAGUAGUAUUUUUGUUAUUUUGAGUUCAUUGACAUACCCGAAUUGCAACUCGCUGGAGCGAGUACUUUUAUACUUGAUUAUUUUGUAUGUAUAUGAGACUUGUUUUAUUCUACCUGUUUAGCUUUUUUACAGCUCUAUACUACUAGUUGUAGUAUUGUAUAUUUUACUGUUACCAUUACGCUUCGUAUACAGGAAAAAUUCUUUGUAUACAGCGGAUUUGUCGACGUGCCCGGAAAACGUGUAAUCCGGGGCGUGACAGGUUCACCUAUUUUAGACUACGGAAUCAAAAGUGAUUCCGAUGAUUGUCGUUUGUUUUAAGGAAUCGGAUUUCGUUUCCCAUUCCACUCCGGGGUGAGAAUGGCCAAAUUCAUUUAUGGCCCAAUCCGGCUUUAAAUCUCUGAUUGACCCAUUCCAAAAUAAAUUAUUCAAAUUUCUUUUUUACCAACACCUUCCUCAUCUCCCUUCAUCACUUUUCCCUCUCUUAAUCAAAACCCUCUCUAAAAAGUUUUAAAUUUUCAUUGCAACUGAUCUUUCUG
RNAcentral lists this long non-coding RNA (1342 nucleotides) under Ananas comosus (pineapple). RNAcentral's name for it is "long non-coding RNA (ACOM_LNC028208)". Lineage: Eukaryota; Viridiplantae; Streptophyta; Magnoliopsida; Poales; Bromeliaceae. The record is from RNAcentral.